This 274-nucleotide ribosomal RNA is filed under the name uncultured bacterium. RNAcentral's name for it is "partial 16S ribosomal RNA". It matches the Rfam family "Archaeal small subunit ribosomal RNA", at positions 473 to 747 of the family's 1478-position model. The record is from RNAcentral.
AAACCAGCACCUCAAGUGGUCAGGAGGAUUAUUGGGCCUAAAGCAUCCGUAGCCUGUUCUAUAAGUUUCCGGUUAAAUCCAUUAGCUCAACUAAUGGGCUGCCGGAAAUACUGUAGAACUAGGGAGUGGGAGAGGUAGACGGUAUUCGGUAGGAAGGGGUAAAAUCCUUUGAUCUAUUGAGGACCACCUGUGGCGAAGGCGGUCUACCAGAACACGUCCGACGGUGAGGGAUGAAAGCUGGGGGAGCAAACCGGAUUAGAAACCCGAGUAGUCC